UGGGGAAUAUUGGGCAAUGGAGGGAACUCUGACCCAGCGACGCCGCGUGCGGGAUGAAGGCCUUCGGGUUGUAAACCGCUUUCAGCAGGGAAGAAGCGAAAGUGACGGUACCUGCAGAAGAAGCACCGGCUAACUAUGUGCCAGCAGCCGCGGUAAUACAUAGGGGGCUAGCGUUGUUCGGAUUUACUGGGCGUAAAGCGCGUGUAGGCGGGUCGUUAAGUUGGGGGUGAAAUCCCGAGGCUCAACCUCGGAACUGCCUUCAAAACUGGCGACCUGGACCUAAGUAGAGGCAAGUGGAAUUGCGAGUGUAGAGGUGAAAUUCGUAGAUAUUCGCAGGAACACCAGUGGCGAAGGCGACUUGCUGGACUUAUGGUGACGCUGAGACGCGAAAGCGUGGGGAGCAAACAGGAUUAGAUACCCAGGUAGUCCCUGAGCGGGCUGGCAAGGCGCAU
RNAcentral lists this ribosomal RNA (452 nucleotides) under uncultured bacterium. RNAcentral's name for it is "bacterial SSU rRNA". It matches the Rfam family "Bacterial small subunit ribosomal RNA", at positions 355 to 825 of the family's 1533-position model. The record is from RNAcentral.